Cynocephalus volans (Philippine flying lemur) is the source of this 64-nucleotide small nuclear RNA. RefSeq annotates it as U7 small nuclear RNA. The transcript has a single exon. Lineage: Eukaryota; Metazoa; Chordata; Mammalia; Dermoptera; Cynocephalidae. The record is from RefSeq and is a predicted model, not a curated record.
CAAAACCCCAGCUCUUUGGAAAUGUGUCUAGCAGGUUUUCCAGUCUUUACUGGAAACCGCCCUA